CAUACACAUUCUUAGGGCUUGGAGUUGAGGUCACAAACUGGCCGAUGAACUCACAUGUGUAGGUAGUGUGCUACAUGAGUGGCAAUUUUUCACUAACACUCCUCUAUGGCCUGUGAGUGGAGUUUGAUAGUAACCUUUGCUACAAGU
Molecule: small nucleolar RNA, 147 nt
Filed under: Nannospalax galili (Upper Galilee mountains blind mole rat)
Lineage: Eukaryota; Metazoa; Chordata; Mammalia; Rodentia; Spalacidae
Source: RNAcentral